CCAAGGUGGACAUCAUGUGUUAGUUACCUAAUGGUGAGAAACAAAUGACCACAACACUCACUGGCUGAAAAUAACAAACACUGAUUAUCUCACAAUUUCCGAGGGUCAGGAUCUUGGGAGUGGCGUAGCUGGGUGGUUCUGGCUCGGAGUCUCUCAUGAGAUUUUAGACAAGACAUUGGCCGGCAUCUGAAGUCUGGACUAGGGCUGGAAGAGCCACUUCCCAGACGGCUCACUCACACGGCUGUGGGCAAAGGCCUUCAUUUCCUCUCCGGCUGCUGGCAGGAUGGCUCGGUUCCUCACCACGUGGACCUUUCUGUAGGGAGGCUUGAAUGUCCUCUGACACGGCAGCCCGCUUCUCCGAGAGCAAGUCACCCAAGAGAGGGCAAGAUGGAAGCCACAAUGCCUUUAAGACCUGCCCUCAAAGUCCCGCUCUGUGUUUUCUACCCCAUUCUAUCCGUUAGAAGGAGUCGCUAAAUCCAGCCCACGCACAAGGAGAGGGGAAUUCGAGUCCGUCUGUGGAGGGAGCAGUGUCAAAUUUGUGGGCAUAUUUGUGGACACCACAGCGGGUUUGACUGGAUCCAGGGAUGAAAACGAGCUCUGGCAUUCUCUCUCAAUCUCCCUCUCUCUCCUGCUUCCUUUUCUGCUUCAGCUCCUCCAGCUAAUGAUCUCUCCACAUUGGCGGCAGGAGGAGACGAUGGUUUCUGGCAGCCCCUGGUGUACAUUAUUUCAACUCCCUGACCAACAAGCACUUACCGGUUAUGCUCUCCUGCAUGAGCACCAAGGACCUGGCCACGUGAGUGUGACCAUCAGACCCCGGCAGGGGUCAACACCGGUCAUAGGCCUGCAGAGCUGGGCCGAAGAGCAACGCCGAUCACAGCAGGAACAGCAGUUUUAGAAGCUCCAGGCGCUAAGUGUUCUACACGUGUUAUCUUCCUUGACUCUCCGAGCAGCUCUGGAAGGUAGGUACCAUUACUGUCAUCAUUUUGCAGCUGAGCAAACUGAGGCUCAAAGACGUUGAGUAAAUCGCUCCAGGUCACAACUGAGAAAGCGGUGGUUUUGAACGUGGGUGAUGUGGCUUCUACUCUCCGCUCUCUCUGCUCUGCUGUGUGGACUUUCAUGAACACGCCGCGACCCAAGCCAAGACCAGGAGCCUCUGGGUGGGCGGCCCGGGCAUCUCCGUGUACUCUGUGGAGCUGGCAGCUGAGAACCUUCACCUUUUCUCUUAAAGGAAGCACUUUACGGCUGCCCUUUGGCACAUCUGAAUUGCCAGCAUCACUACUCUUGUGCUUUCGGGCCAUUAUUAAGUCAAGUAAGGGUGACUUGAACACAAGCACUGCGAUACUGUGACCAGUGAUCUGACACCCGCGAGGACCACUGCGUGACUAGCAAGCGGACAGCGUGUACAGUGUGGAUACACUGGACGAACGAUGAUUCACGUCCCAGGCAGGAGGGAGGAGGAUGGUGUGGGAUUUCAUCACACUACUUAGAACGGCACACAAUGUAAAGCGUAUGAAUUGUUUAUUUCUGGAAUUUUCCAUUUACUAUUUUUGGACUGUGGUUGACUGCAGGUAACUGAAACUGGAAAGAGAAACCAAGGCUCAGGGGAGAUUGCUGUAUAGCAUAACAGCAUGUAUUUUCUCUCUGCAUCUUCAUACAGGUGCUUGUGCAUUUCGAGAAGGGGCUCUGACAACAUCCCUGAGUAGAAUCCUGAAAACGUCCAAUCCAAGCGUGGUCCUUAGGAAUGCCGUUUUCCAGGAUUUCCAGUUCUCUGCCUUCAGGGGCAUGGUGGGGUUGCACCGCACCUGCCUCUCUGAGGUCAGGUGUGGCCAUGAGCAUUUGCCAGGGGAAUCUGAGUGGAGGUGACAUGUCUCACUUCUGGGGUAAGCCAUGCUCACUCUGCCUCGGUGCCCAGAGAGGCUGCAGUGGCGCAUGCUCUGUCAACCGUGUCUCAGAGCAGCCAAGCGCUGGCUGACCUAUGAUAGGCAUGCAGUGAGAGAGAGGUACACUCUUCUUAGUGUGAGCCGUUGAUUUUAGGGUGGGUAGUUACUAGAUCAUAAUCUGGUGUGUCAUGGCUGAUGCUUCAAGUCUCUGUUCAACCCAAAGAGCCCCGUCCCUCUGUUGAAGGACUUCCCCUGGGUCUCUACCUGGGGUUGAUCUAAGGGACAGGUUUGGAGACCACUGCAGCUGGAUUUGGAAGGGACCCAUUGCUGACCUCAAAGUCACAUUGACCAAAGUAUAUUAAAAAUGGAAAAUUGAAAUUCGGAGAGUAAUGGCACUUGAUAGAUGCAUGGAGAUUUAAUUUUUCAAAGACUUUCCACAUCUAUCAAAAUUUUUCCCCAGAAUAACAACAAAAACAAUACGUGACAGAUUCCAUUUCCCAAUGUCUACCGUCUCAUUUGCUCUUCUGCAAUGCGACCUUGCCAUCCUCCAUCAAGAGGUGAAGUUGAUGUCUCAAUCCUUGAUUCUAGGCUGGACUGGGACUCCUUUGACCAGUAGAAUAAAUCCGGCAGAAGUUAUGCUGUGGUGGUUCUGGGAGUAGCUCUGAACUGGCUGGAAGCUUCUGCUUCCUGCCUGCCUUAUUCAGGCUCUGGGAUGAGACACCAUGUGGAGAGAGAGAGAGAGACAGAGAGAGACAGAGAGAGAGAGAGAAGGAGAGAGAUAGCAAGAAGUAUCGUUGUGCCAAAUGUGCAAGUGAAGAGGCAUACUGGGAAACGGAAUCUCGAGCCCCAGAGGCCCAGGGCUAAGAUGAACGACCCAGCUGGGUCCUUCCCCAAAUCCUUGACCCACACAAUCAUGAGUGAAAUAGAUGGUUGGUUGUAG
Equus caballus (horse) is the source of this 2820-nucleotide long non-coding RNA. The record is from Ensembl. Lineage: Eukaryota; Metazoa; Chordata; Mammalia; Perissodactyla; Equidae.